Long non-coding RNA from Paramacrobiotus metropolitanus, 1132 nucleotides. RefSeq lists it as uncharacterized. NCBI's taxonomy places the organism in Eukaryota, Metazoa, Tardigrada, Eutardigrada, Parachela, Macrobiotidae. The record is from RefSeq and is a predicted model, not a curated record. The transcript has 3 exons.
UCUUACAGAAUGCGGGCCAGACAGAACUACAACCUACGCAGGCGGGCGGAGCUAACGUUGUGAAAUACGGGUAUGAAGGCGGGAAUUUCAACGCCAACGCGCAAUAGUGAGUGGUCAAAUUAGCGAAUGUUUCCGUUUGGCUUCGGCACGGGGAGCGUAUUCCCUUAAACUGUUGAUUCAGUCCAGAGGAAGAAAGGGACCUGUGGAGAAAGAAAAUUUGCUUACAUUCUGGCAUAUCUAUUCGAGAACACCGCCGCUUUAUAAGCGUUCAAAAUGUCAGGGUUCUGAUGGUUUCAAACUGUCUGUACUAUUUUCCAAUUCUUCGGGCGGAGCAAAAACAAGUAGCAAUUAUACUAACCCGUAUUAACAGAGAACACUCUGCACAUAAAGUUAGUCUGUGUUGCACUCGAUGCCGGCCGGAAGUUUUAAUACUAUAGCUUCAACUUUUUACAUUUAGAGGGAGUCGGACGGAACCUGGACAAAGUGUACGCGUAUGGAUAAAUUUAAAGUGUUCUGAUUAAUACUUAGGCCAAUCAGCUGAUUUGCGCACCUGCACCGAGCAGCUGAUCAAGUUCCAGAUGCAAACAAUUUGUUGCCGGACAGUUUGACUUUGUGGCCGACACAACAGCGCAAAACUGCCCAUAAAAGCUACGCUGCUAAACUCUAAAGAACUGGUACCUACAACCUACAGGCGAUUCCGCAUGGUACCGAAAUACUGACGGAAUAGUACAGUACUGUACAGUAACAAAAAUAUUACUAUCAAAUUCCUUCCGUAUACGGCAGCGAUCCUGGAGGGAAUGCUGAUAAUCCCGACAACUGUCUCCGGAUUCAUUCGAAACUAGUUAUUGCUGUUUUUGUUACCUGUUUUUUCUAAUGAUCUUGUUCCCUGCGUCUCAGUUCUCCGUAUCGAAAAUUAAAUAAAACAUGACAAGAACAGUUAAAAGCAGUCUAAAUUCCGAACUCCCACAGGCCACAGUGAUCAGAGAAUAGCCCCAGUUAUUAUUACCGCAUUUACGAUGUCCCCGACGCAAUCACCAGUAAGUACAGUACUGUAAUGAGCUAACAGAAAUCUGCUGCAGCAGUUAACAGAAACGGCAAUAUAAUCGUCGAACAUUAACGCUGAGCAGCAGAU